GUGAGGAAUAUUGCGCAAUGGAGGCAACUCUGACGCAGCCAUGCCGCGUGCAGGAAGAAGGCGCUACGCGUUGUAAACUGCUUUUAACCGGGAAGAAACCCCAGGACGUGUCCUGGGUUGACGGUACCGGAGGAAUAAGCACCGGCUAACUUCGUGCCAGCAGCCGCGGUAAUACGAAGGGUGCAAGCGUUAUCCGGAUUCAUUGGGUUUAAAGGGUGCGUAGGCGGAGCGUUAAGUCAGUGGUGAAAUCCUGCAGCUUAACUGUAGAAUUGCCAUUGAUACUGGCGCUCUUGAGUGCGCUUGAAGUGGGCGGAAUGUGCCGUGUAGCGGUGAAAUGCUUAGAUAUGGCACAGAACACCAAUUGCGAAGGCAGCUCACUAAGGCGAUACUGACGCUGAGGCACGAAAGCGUGGGGAUCGAACAGGAUUAGAUACCCCUGUAGUCC
RNAcentral lists this ribosomal RNA (445 nucleotides) under uncultured bacterium. Its description in RNAcentral is "partial 16S ribosomal RNA". It matches the Rfam family "Bacterial small subunit ribosomal RNA", at positions 354 to 796 of the family's 1533-position model. The record is from RNAcentral.